UGGUGUACCAGUUGUCGUGCCAACGGCAUAGCUGGGUAGCUAUGUGUGGACGGGAUAAGUGCUGAAAGCAUCUAAGCAUGAAGCCCCCCUCAAGAUGAGAUUUCCCAACUUCGGUUAUAAGAUCCCUCAAAGAUGAUGAGGUUAAUAGGUUCGAGGUGGAAGCAUGGUGACAUGUGGAGCUGACGAAUACUAAUCGAUCGAAGACUUAAU
RNAcentral lists this ribosomal RNA (210 nucleotides) under Staphylococcus aureus. RNAcentral's name for it is "partial 23S ribosomal RNA". It matches the Rfam family "Bacterial large subunit ribosomal RNA", at positions 2710 to 2925 of the family's 2925-position model. The record is from RNAcentral. Lineage: Bacteria; Bacillati; Bacillota; Bacilli; Caryophanales; Staphylococcaceae.